Alligator sinensis (Chinese alligator) is the source of this 6729-nucleotide long non-coding RNA. RefSeq lists it as uncharacterized. The record is from RefSeq and is a predicted model, not a curated record. Lineage: Eukaryota; Metazoa; Chordata; Crocodylia; Alligatoridae. The transcript is spliced from 3 exons.
ACUAGUUUUUCCCUAAGGUGUCAUCCUGCCAUACCUCCUGUCUGACUUCAGAUUCAUGCAGAUACCACUGCUCAAGUUACUGCCUGCCAUUCAAAUGUGACAAAUAAACUGGAAUACAGCCUCCUCUAAGAGCCAAAGAUCCCGUUGCAAUAUAGCAAUUCUGAAACAACUGCAUGGUGCUGGGGCUAGCUGUUACCCUGAGAGCAUUCCCUAAACAGUUGCAGCUCCUUGCUUACCAUUUCUGAUGCAGAAUAAAGCAGUGCAAGGUCAAAGUUCUCAGCUCUUGUCACUUGGGUCUCUGUAGGCAAAAGCAAAUACCAGCAGGGAGGUCUAACAUGCAUUACUGCUGAUGCCAUUGGGAGGGCACGAUGCCUUACACUCUUAGUCACCAGUGGCUUGAUCAUAACACUCAUCAUUAGCAUGUGCUCAUUAUUGCUACCCUGCUCCUUCUGAGAGGUUACCAAAGAUGGCAUCAGAACAGGCCUCACCCUAGCUCUGACAUCAGAUGUUACAGCUUAAGGAUUCGGCUGUAGUUGCUAUUUGAGCAACUACCUGUUCCUCCACCACUGGGUACUGCAUAGCAGUCCAAUCAAAUUACCUAAGCUUUAGCUGUUGGUGUGCUGCACCGAGCCCACAGCUUCCUUACUAACCUACCAUGUAGUACAGUCUCUCCAGUCACUCGGGCCAUAAACAGGCUUGAGACAAUGAAUACUUAAAAUAUUCCACCCAUGCUUCCCUCUCACUACCUAAAGCAAAAAUCUUACAAAGAGUGGGAAGAUGAUGGUGGAUAAAUUGCAGUAAAUUCCCUAAUUGCAGUCAUAGUUAGGCCCUGGGAUCAGUGCAUCUUAAACUCUUACAACACUGCUGUUCCAAGCAGUAAGCUGGCCAACUGAACAUGCUCAGGGGUAUGUGAAAGAUGACAACAAUUGCACUCAAAGCCUGUCACAGCACCCAAGGCAAGGAGCUGACAGGAGCAAGCUGCCACCACACCUCCGUUCCCUCUGCUGUUGGAUUGAAUUAGCUAUGUCCCAGCCUGCUCCUUACAGUUUGCAACCAAAAAAGCUGCUGCAUGAGCAAAGCACAAACAAGUUUUGCAACAUGAGGAAGGGUAUUUUGAGAAAACCACCUUUCCCCCAGGAGCACAAAUCUGCCUGCAAUACAUGUAGGCAGGGCCAGGCCUUUUGCAGAAAGGCGCUGCUUAAGGGUGAAGUCACGUUUGUAUUUGUCUGUUUGAGCUGAACCAAAUCCCAAAAGCUGGGGCCCAGAAAAGGGGAAAUCGGGUCAUGGUCAGAUUAUGCUGGGGGGCGGGGGAAGAAAGGCAAAGCCACACUUUCCAUUCUGUUUUACAGGGCUUGGCUUUUUGCCCCAUGAAACUAGAAGUGAACAGGAAAUGAGAUCCUAGGCAGAGCACUGGGAACGAGGGGAGCAACCAGGGAGACCAGAAGAGUGAGGAGAACUCUUGGAGCCUUUCUUGUUGUAGGGCAGGGAGAGCUGGGCAGGAUGGCAAUGGCUGUGUUCUGGCCUCACAUGUACUUGGAGAACUCCUUGGAACAUUUAAGGGAGUCCUUUAACCUCAGUGAGGAAACAUGGCUGAAACUUUGCCCUCAUCCUCUAUGACUACAUGCAGGGACCUGCCCAUUUUAAGCCUUCAACUGGGAGAUUUUGCACCAUAACUCUCCCGUGGUUUUUUGGAAAAGCGCACACACAAGCCUAGCAGUGGUCUCUAUUCACCUGAGUUUAGCUGAACUCAACACAGGCAAAAGGAGAGCCAAGGCAUUCUGGUUCAUCACACCUAAUGUAGAAGUAUUCCUUACUCAAACAAACAAACCACCAAACUCAGGCCUUUCCUAUUUCACUUAGAGACUUUACUGCAGACUAACCCAGUUGCAUGCAAAGAGCUACAGGGCAGAGCCAUGCCUGGGUUGGAGUGCCCUUGCUAGUGGCUGCACACCCCCACACCCAGUGACACUACAACACCCAGGGGUCUAUCCCAAUGUUCCUUGGGUCAUACUAUCUGAGCCACAAUUCACUGAAAAAGACCUGGAAAGAAUGAGUCUCCUCCCAGAAGUAUGUGAAUUGUGUGUGAAAGCACUGAAGGACCUUCAGCACUUCCAUCAUUUAGCUUGUAGCCUCACUGCAAAGAGGACAUGCCAUGAAAACAUCACUAAACUUGCAAGAGAGGAGGCUUCACGUGUAGGUAGGAAGUGAAUGAGAUCCAUUACCUAACUACCAGUUGCAGCUAACUGAGCAGUGAAGACAGAUCAAGAACAGAAAAGAUGGGAGGAGAAAGAUCCAUCUUCUUUAAGCAGAACUAUGCACUACCUAUUUUACUUGGGAGGUGGCCUCAUACCACGUCUAACAGCCUGUAUGAAGAGAGAGGGGUAAUAAUGCUUUCUGUGUAGAACCCUGCUCCUUGCAGGUCUAUUUGUAGCACCUGACAAAGGAGGUGGUUCCUUACAAAAGCCCUGCCUUCUACCUUAUAUGAAAAGCACAAUUUUUACCCCAUUGCUCAGUGGGAGAUCUAGGUUCAAGUUUUUCUUUUGAGUGAGGGAAUUUGAACCUUUAAGGAAUCUCUUAAGAGCACAUCCAGCUGAAGUGGGCCCCCUCAACCCCUCCUGUUGGGGCAGGGACAGGAACCCAGGUCUUCCCCUUCUCAAUAAGGGGAGUCCCUUAACUACCAGCAGUCAUUUGCUCCCCCCUGCACCAAGUGCCCUCUCAUUACUUCGCACAACACAAAUUGCAAAGGGGCUCAAAAACUUCUGACCCAAACAGCUAUUGGACAAGUCUUUACCAGGAAGUGAUUAAAAGAAGUCCUCAGUGUGAUUUCCAGCUAGACUGAACUAAAGAUCAAGAGAUGGGCAAUAGGGAACACUCCUGCAGUAGCAGGCUGCUAGUGACCCAGUAAACCUCUGGCCCAUUAAACAUUUUACUGUACACAGAGGAAGAGAUCACAAAGCAGCUCAGGUGAUUCGACAGUUUGCAGGCACUGCCUUGUUGGAUGAUUGUUUCCUUCUCUCAGCACACCUGAAAGCAGUCUGCCAGCCAGUAGCACAGAUGCAAGGAAGGGCUGUAUUUUCACAGAUGCUUGUCCCUGGGUGCAAGGAGAACAAAGUGCUAAUGAACCAUCUCUGGGCAGUUGAUAGGAGAGUUGGGCAGCACUUGGAGAAAAAAGAAAACCAGUUAAAUUUACAAUAUGCACAGCUGUCCCUACCGCAGCACCCAGUGCCAUGCUGCUCCCCUGAACUCUACGGCACGAACUUCUUGCCUGUGUUGGUAACUGAGUUUGAAAACAGUAUAUAACCAGAGCUCAUAGGAAUUUGUUCAACAACACAUGACUGGCCAGUAUGGUGGUGAAAUGGCCAACCUGCAUUUCUAAUACAGUUUGAAUGCUGUCCAUGCUGUCUGUCCAAGCAGUUGGAAACAUAUUUAAACAGAGCAUUAUUUAAGAGAGUUUAAAAUCCAGGCUCUUAACUGCUUAAAGCUCGUUGUACUUGGAACAUCCCAACUGAUAGUUUUUGUACAAGCGGGGGCCUGUAGAAGUACAACCUAAUAUGGAGUCUUCCUAUUUUUGGUUCACUCAGACUCAAUAAGGCUGGAAGGCACAGCAUUAGAGACUGUUCUGUGAUGCCACUUCAGGUGAAUGAGUGCAGUGUCUUCAAAUAAGCUGCAGGUGUUUAUGGAACCCCAAAAUUCUGUCAGGACGAGGAGGAACAGCCUUCCAGCAUGGCUAUCAACAAAGAGAUCAACACUUUGGAGGACUGUCAUGACCUCAAGUCUACUGCAUCGCUCAGGUAUCUGCAAGGGCUCCACUGCAGAUUCCUGAUGAUUUACCAAAGAAGGAAAGCAACAUUGCCUAACCUGGAAUAAACCCUACUUUGAGCUCACUGCAAGGUCUCUGCAGCUGUCAUACAAUCCUUUUAAAAAGAUCUCUGUCUUGGUAAUGGAAAAAUUCCACAAUUUUCUGUAUAUGGAAGAUUGGAAUGGGCUAUGAGUGAAGCUGCUUCUGACAAUCUUGUCAGUGGUCUGAACCAUGUCUGUGUACAUUAGAAAAAUGUAGUUCAUUCAAUCCAGGGAAACUUAUUUUACAAACAGAAAAUAUCCCUGCUCUAAGUUUUCUUCAAAGCAUUUUUCAGCAGAGGUACUAGCCACAGCUAUGAUAGAUUGAAGGGCACAUGCUGCUGCAGGAGGUACACUCUCAGGUUUAUAGUUCAGUGUCACUUGCUCUGAAGCCCUUGCUCUCAUUUUCCAAUUUACUUUUAUUAAAGAGGAGAUUUAAAGCUCGUCUCGUUUUAAGCUAUAAAUUCCAAACCUCUAGGCUGCUCUUGAGUGAAUAUGGCUCUCUGAAUAUGACGUUAGGAUUCUGCUUCAUUCCAGAAAUGAUCAUCACAGGCUGUUUACACAGAUGUUUCCAGCCCUGUGACAAUUUACACAAAACUGCCCAGCCUUCUGCAUAUUUGAGUCAAAAAAGAAGGUGCUUAUUAUCCAGUCUGUAGCACUAGCUCAGCUUCAAACCCUUAUUUUAAAGGCAGGAAGAUGAGAUCUGCCAUUCCAUAACCAUGUUCCAUCUGUACCAAGACAGAAGUCAAACUAGAAGCAGCUGACACACAGCACAGAAUUAGCUACCUCUUAAAAGCAUUCAGGAAUGCAGCAGGGAGGGGAAUCUGGGACUUGAGUUUGUUUAAUUUCAAUAUAAUUAAUUUUCUAGGAUGAGGGAAGAGCCAAACAAGAAAACAGUUGUAGAGAAAUAAUACCCAUGCAAAACACGUAACGAGUGCUUGUUGAAUGACUUACCAUGACUUGUGCAGAAAUUUCCUCAUCUUCACAGUGAGAUCCUGUUAUCAAACAGGAUGACAUCACUACUUAUAGUGGCUAGAAGGAAAUCAGAUAUUGUUUUUAAAUAAUGCUUCUCCCCUUCAUAUCAACCAGUAUAGCCCCCCAAAUCCAUGUGUCAAGUAGCAGGAGCCACAAGCUCACACGUGCAUGCCCCAGAAUUGUUUCAUCAAAACACUUUAAUGUUGGCAUGAGGUGCAAAUUCUAGGGACCUUAGAAGUAAUUACUCUUUCAGUCAGUCAGUCAAAUAACAUAACCAGAACUGUUUGGUUAGAAAAAUUCACAUUUUAACAGACUCCUAGGUACAAAGCAGUCAACACACAAACUUUGACCAAUCACAACAGCAAAGGACAGGGUUUGUUUUUUUCUCUCUUUCUUUUCUUUUUUUUUUUUUUUUUAAGGAGCCAGGGCUUGGAAAAAUACAGCACACUAAUGAAACAAAGUGCAAAAAAUACAAAAAAAAAUAGAAAAUAGAAAAAAUGUAUUUACAAGUGGUACAUUACUAUGAUCAGAAAGCACAAAGACAAUUGCUGCUAUAAUACAUGCACUGGGUCAAGAAAACUAUUAAAAACCUGCAAGUGAGACGUUUGUAUUAGAGAGAGAGAGAGAGAGAGAAGAAAAGAAAAGAAAAGAAAAGAAAAAAGAAAGGGGUAAGGAAAGGGGCUUAAACAUUUUUCUUCCUUAGUCUGCUACAUUGAUCAAAAUCAAAUAACCUCCUAGAGUCCAUGAGUACAAUUGGUACAAAUACUACACUGUUUUUUAACUGCAGGUUCAAUUGUAGAAGGGAGAAAACAGUUGCUUAUUGUAGGUUCAUAUACAAGAAAGCCAUAUUAAACUGCUCUACAUGCUAAAAAUUACAGCAAGCCCCUGUCUGCUACGUAGCAUGAUCUUAGCAGGUUUUUCCUUUUUAUUUAUUCAUAUAUAUAUCUAUAUGCGUGUAUAUAUAUAUGUAUAAAAAUCGUGCCCUUGUUCACUGCAACAUGACAUCUGGGUGGAAAUGUAACUUGUUACAACAAAUUCUUAUAUGUAUACUGCAAGAAGUCACUCAAUGUCUGUGGAUUUAAUAAGUCACCUCACACCACAGGAAAUAUUUAAUAAAUCAAAAAACCCAAAAAACAAAACAAAAAAUCCAUAUAGUGACAGAAGAGCUUCUGUCUCAGUUCUCUUCAAAACUGAAGUCCAACAGGAAACUGGUCCCAAUGUACAUGAGGGUUCUCUGAAGAAGCUUCAGUUUGCUUAACUAUUUUUUCCUUUUAGUGUUCUCGAGUUUCUGAACAACUUCAGAUCGUUUUCAGUUUAAAAGUUUGUCUCCUCUCUUGCAAAGGUAACAGUCUGGUACUGAUCCGUAAGAGGGGAAGGAGCAAAGGGAGGUGGCUGCAGUCACACAAAGGGUCCCAUCUGCAGGGAUAAGAGGAAUCAAAUAGAGCUCCAAAACCUUUGCUUUUUUGUUUUUUCCUUUUUUAAUAUAAAGUCCAUUCAUACAAGUUCCAUAAACUGGCACCUUUCCCAGCACCAGUCCAGCUUUAGGUGACAAUAAAUGCUCAAGUUGAGAAAAGGACCAAGGCAGAAGUUCCAGUCACUUUCUAUCUGCUGCAUCAUACUUCCAGGAAACGGGAGCUGCUGGUCUUGGAGUGGAAGGGUUCAGACCACAUGCGACGAAGAUCGCCCUUUGGAACGGGAGGCAAGAAAGCAAAUUCAUUCAGAAGUUAUCAAACAGCCCAGGAUCUUCAAUGACUUUAAGCCCUGUGUGUUUAGGUGUCUUGUCUUAAGUUGUCAUAACGCAGGACAAAGCAGAGGAGAAGACCUGGCAUCACGAUGUCUCCAAUACCCAGCAUAGAGAAGUGGCUGCCUGUGGAACUGGAUAACCGUUCAGAUUGGGUGCAUGUCCGAGACACUGGA